Molecule: long non-coding RNA, 574 nt
Organism: Pseudophryne corroboree (corroboree frog)
Lineage: Eukaryota; Metazoa; Chordata; Amphibia; Anura; Myobatrachidae
Exons: 3
Source: RefSeq, a predicted model, not a curated record
GGACACGCUGGAGGUCACGUGACCGGGGCAUUGACACGUCACCACAUCCAGGGCGGAAGCUCCAGGCUCCCCAGGACGCUGCACACCUUCCCACACGUGGGUCCUCCUCACCAUAAAGUAUCCAUAGGGCUAAAGCGGGACGCACAAGCGGCCACUGUUUUUCCAUCCAAAGAUUCAACCAUCUUCAUAUGUCAUCAGUGAACAGGCAUAUUUUAUUCCGCCUAUGAGGGGACCCAGGAUCGCUGUAUCUGUUCUAAUACAUUCCGCUAAUGGCUCUACUGCUAGGAUUUGCAGGAAAUACAGGCACUAUGAAGUAUGAACACAGGGCCUAAUCGGAGAUGUAUGCAAACCCAACAGAAUGACAUCACAUUGUACUGGGGGCGAUGGGGGCGGAAGUGACCUGCUACUGCCCUGUCUGUCUCUGCAGAAUAAACUGUGUUUUCCACCUUAAAGAGCAUACAGUAUGUCGCUAUAUUAUCAAUACAAGUGAAGGUGUUUUUGUGUGAAGGGCGAUGUUGGAUAACCUUUGGAUGAAGACCAUUCAAAUAAAUAUCAAACCAGUUCCUAAUUUAAU